This 303-nucleotide ribosomal RNA is filed under the name uncultured marine bacterium. RNAcentral describes it as "bacterial SSU rRNA". It matches the Rfam family "Bacterial small subunit ribosomal RNA", at positions 654 to 957 of the family's 1533-position model. The record is from RNAcentral.
GAGGUGAGUGGAAUUCCAAGUGUGAGGGGGAAAUUGGUAGAUUUUUGGAGGAACACCAGUGGCGAAGGCGGCUCACUGGCUCGAUACUGACGCUGAGGUACGAAAGUGUGGGGAGCAAACAGGAUUAGAUACCCUGGUAGUCCACACCGUAAACGAUGAAUGCCAGACGUCGGGGGGCUUGCCCUUCGGUGUCACACCUAACGGAUUAAGCAUUCCGCCUGGGGAGUACGGUCGCAAGAUUAAAACUCAAAGGAAUUGACGGGGGCCCGCACAAGCGGUGGAGCAUGUGGUUUAAUUCGAAGC